RNAcentral lists this ribosomal RNA (492 nucleotides) under uncultured bacterium. RNAcentral describes it as "partial 16S ribosomal RNA". It matches the Rfam family "Bacterial small subunit ribosomal RNA", at positions 29 to 507 of the family's 1533-position model. The record is from RNAcentral.
AGUGAACGCUGGCGGUAGGCCUAACACAUGCAAGUCGAACGGCAGCACAGUAAGAGCUUGCUCUUACGGGUGGCGAGUGGCGGACGGGUGAGGAAUACAUCGGAAUCUACUUUUUCGUGGGGGAUAACGUAGGGAAACUUACGCUAAUACCGCAUACGACCUACGGGUGAAAGCAGGGGAUCUUCGGACCUUGCGCGAUUGAAUGAGCCGAUGUCGGAUUAGCUAGUUGGCGGGGUAAAGGCCCACCAAGCCGACGAUCCGUAGCUGGUCUGAGAGGAUGAUCAGCGACACUGGAACUGAGACACGGUCCAGACUCCUACGGGAGGCAGAAGUGGGGAAUAUUGGACAAUGGGCGCAAGCCUGAUCCAGCCAUACCGCGUGGGUGAAGAAGGCCUUCGGGUUGUAAAGCCCUUUUGUUGGGAAAGAAAAGCAGCAGGUUAAUACCCCGCUGUUCUGACGGUACCCAAAGAAUAAGCACCGGCUAACUUCGUG